AGAGUUUGAUCAUGGCUCAGAUUGAACGCUGGCGGAAUGCUUUACACAUGCAAGUCGAACGGCAGCACGGACUUCGGUCUGGUGGCGAGUGGCGAACGGGUGAGUAAUAUAUCGGAACGUAUCCAAUAAUGGGGGAUAACUAAGCGAAAGCUUGGCUAAUACCGCAUACGCCCUGAGGGGGAAAGCUGGGGAUCUUCGGACCUAGCGUUGAUGGAGCGGCCGAUAUCUGAUUAGCUAGUUGGUGGGGUAAAGGCCCACCAAGGCGACGAUCAGUAGCUGGUCUGAGAGGACGACCAGCCACACUGGAACUGAGACACGGUCCAGACUCCUACGGGAGGCAGCAGUGGGGAAUUUUGGACAAUGGGCGCAAGCCUGAUCCAGCCAUUCCGCGUGAGUGAAGAAGGCCUUCGGGUUGUAAAGCUCUUUCGCAAGGGAAGAAACGUUACGGGCGAAUAACCCGUGAUAAUGACGGUACCUGAUAAGAG
This 485-nucleotide ribosomal RNA is filed under the name uncultured Methylophilus sp. RNAcentral's name for it is "bacterial SSU rRNA". It matches the Rfam family "Bacterial small subunit ribosomal RNA", at positions 8 to 489 of the family's 1533-position model. The record is from RNAcentral. Lineage: Bacteria; Pseudomonadati; Pseudomonadota; Betaproteobacteria; Nitrosomonadales; Methylophilaceae.